GCCUGCUUGCAUGUUUGAAGCAGUUCCUUCCUGCAGCCUGGGUCCCCUCCCUGGAGACUGGCAGGCUCCUCCAGCCGCCUCAGGGCACUGACAUCCAUCCUAUGCUCCAGAAGAGAACGUACCCAGAAGCGACCCAAUGGAGCCACUCUGCCUCCCUGCGCAGACGCCAGCAGAGACUUAGUGACUACCCUGGGUGGGGGGGUGCGCCAGGCGGAGAUGGAAAGAAUAAAUGAGGGGAAGAGAACAGUCUGCCUGGGUCUGCCUUGCCUGGAGUCUGACAAACCUCAUGCGGCCCUGCAGAGCCCCUGAGCUGGGCCCUCCGCACACCCAGGAGGGGUUCCCACUGGGAGCUGGGUGGGGCUGCUCAGGGCGCCUAGGGCUGUCUGUCUGGAAAUCAGCAUGUUCCUGGGUUAGCAGCCUCACUCUCACCCUGGGCCCAGGGACAGGUGGCGUGAUUUCUUUUCCACAAGCCUCCCCACACUUUUCCCUCCCAUCCUUUGGGCUCCCCAGGCCUCAGUUGUGCUCCUGUCUGCCGUGAGAACACCAAAGUUGCUUUCCUGUUGCAGCAAGAACUGCUUCCCAACGAGGAGCACACCAGUCCCCAGCCUUCUCAGAGAAAUCAGGAUACAGGAGGGAGUGAGAACAUGGCAGAACAGAGAGUCACAGAACAGCCUCCUGCCAAGCCCAGAAGGCUGGGCCUGCCCCACUCGAAGCCCUGUCCAUCUGAAAGGCCCAGGAGUCUCCUGAUGACUGAGGUUAGGCCAGACCAGCCCACCAGGUGAGCCUCCCUUCUUCCCCACAGGACACGCAGCCUAGUCUGCUGCUGCUGUGCUGGCAGGGAGACCCCAGCCUACGGCAGGAACCGAGCCCCUCCUCUUAGGGGCUGCGUCAGCCUGCAGGACUUCCCACGCAGCGACCCCAGGUGCUGCUUGCUCUCCUGGCCAGGCUGUUCCUGGCGGGCUGGGCAUACACAGAGUGGAUGGUGAGUCUGGGACCAGGUUCCUGGGGUCGGCUGAUGCCACCCUAGGGAAGUGGGGGUAGCCCUCCCCUCCCCUGAUGAGGAUUUGAAGACCUCGGGGGUGGGAGGAAAGAAGGAGAGAUCAUUCGCGGUGACUCAGCCAAUGAUUCUCCAGAGAAUGAUUGCCACCUGAUACCCAGCUAGGGACAGGGUCCCGCUCUCUCUGGUGGCUGUGGGGGAGAAUCCUACUUGCCUCUUCCAGCCUCCGUGCCUUCGGGUUUCCUUGGCUUAUGGCAGCUUAACUCCAGUCUCUGCCUCUGUCUUCCCAGGCCCUUGUCCCCUGUGUCUCUGUGUCCUGUAUCUCCUUCUCUUUCCCUUUCUGUCAUAGGGAACACCAGUUACUGGAUUUGGGGCCCAUCCUCAACCCAAAAUGAUCUCAUCUUGUGAUGAGCUGUAAUUUGAUUUUAAGAUCUUAAGAUGAAAUCUUAAUUCUUAAUUAUAUUUGGCCUUAUUUUCAAAUAAGGCCACAUUCACAGGGACCGGUGUUAGGACUUGGACUUACCUUUUUGGGGGACACCUUGCAACCCACUAUAUUCGGUUGCUUUCUCUGUAAAAGGCAGACGAGAGUAGCAGCUGCCUCACGAUACUGUGGGUUAGUACAUGCACAGACUUGGAGCAGCACCUGGCAUGUGGUAUGUGCUCAGUAAAUGUUAGCUCGUUUUGUCAUUCCUCAUCCUUCAAACAUGUCACUCAAUGAAACCUACUCUGAGCUGUGCCCCAGACCCAAACAGAGCCAUUGCCCACACAGCUGCUUCACUGGCCUUUGUAGACCCUUCCAGCUUUAUUCCAGGGCUUUGAUCAAGAGGGAUGGAGGCUGUUUCCUCUGUCAGCUCAUUCGCUCCUCUGGAUAAAAAGCUGGAUCUUAUUCAUCUCUUUCUAAAAAAAUAACCACUUUUGAGUCCUACAAAAAUAUCUUGAUCACGAGCAAUAAUACAUGCAUAGAGACAUCACAGAGCAAGCGUAUGUCAUCAUCAUACGCCCAAAUGUUUCCCAGUUUUCUCUUGACCAUUUGACUGGUCCCUUCCGCCUUUGUCUCCCAGCAUUAGUACCGACCUUGCCAUGUGGGGGUGCGGAACAGCUAUAUCUGUUGAUAAACUGAAGGAGGAGGACAGCCUAAAGGUCAGAGCAGAAAUUAAGGAGAGGCUGAAUGUACUGCCCCAGGCCCCCCCCAACUGGGGACAGGGUGGGCCUGCGAGAUGACGGGGAGCGGAAGGAAGGCGCUGGGGCUCGGGGCCACAGGAGGUGCAAGCGAGUGUCAGCGGCUGAGUGUGAGGGAGUGUAGGGAACUCUCGGCCGGGAUCCACGACAUCCGGGAGACCCAACCAGACGGAGGAGACCUGCUGGCUUGGCUGUGUAAAAGGAACACCAGUUACCUUUGUUUCUGUGGACUGUUUAUGAUUUAUGACUAAUUACCAUGUAAAAUAAUAGCAGUUACAUAUAUAAUUAUCUGGCAGAUUAAUUUAUUAUAAGCUUCAUUUAAUUAUACUGCUGAAUUCUGUUUGCUACAUCUCUACUACCCCCAAAACAAAAACAAAACAAAACAAAAUUUGAAGGCCCAUUGCUCCCCUCCACUUUCACAAUUGGAGAAGGCUGGUAGGACCUGGCCCAGUCUCCAGUGGAAGCCUGUUGCCUGGACAGAGUGGCCCUGGUGACUGCUGCUAAGAAGUGUCUUGUAUGGAGCCCUUGCUGUCCUGGUGCUGAGCCCCUUUGAAAUGCCAUUGUGCUCCUGGGUUCCAGCCAGAGAGCCAAGCUGGGAGGAGGCAGAAGCCACAGAGAGAAGCCAGGCAAGCUGCGACCCUGACACUUCCAGGAGCUGGAGAAGACCCCUGUGGGACCCCCAUGACUUAUGUGGGUCCAGCCAGCCCUUUCAGCCCCGUUCCUGCUGUGGGGGUCCUUUCUCUCCCCUAGACUCUUUCUAGCUUCUCAUGCUGCAGAAUGGUCUCUGCCACCUCUCUGCUCAGUAAGCUUCAACCCCAACUGGUUUGAAGAAGCCCCUUGGGAGGUCUGGAGAUCCUGACCACCUCCCUUCUCCCCUGCCCCGUGCCCCAGCCACCACACUAAGGCCCUGUCAAGCCCACCUGCCCUCAGCCCCUUCCACGCACACUGUCAGGCCUGGUCUUACCUGCUCUUCCAGCAGCCCCGGGAAGCAGGUGCCAUCAUAUUCAUCACUGUUCACAGAUGAGGACCACGGGGCUCUGACACCCAGCUGGUGAGGUCAGAGAUGGUUUGAAACCAGGCCAGAUCCUGUGCUGGGUGCUAAGGAUGGACCCACAGACAAGGCGGAAAUGGACAAGCCCCAUGUGGAGCUUAUACCCAGGCCCGCCUCACACCCAGUGGUUUACAAUGAAAAUUUUCAUAAUACACAAAAGUGGAGAGAAUAGCAGAAUGAACUCCCCUGGACCAUCACCCAGUGGCAGCACUCAAUCACCAGUUGAGUGAUUUGUACUUUGUUCUUACCUGAUUCUCUGCUGAGAAAGUUAUGAAAUAUGUGCUUACGGUUUCUUCCCUGUUCCUUUCUCCCAUUCAAGCAGAUGCUAGGAGAACUAGCAAUACCUAGGAGAACUUAAAGGGCUUGCAAAGGAGGGAAAAGAGGGGAAGGAGACUGCAUUUGUUUUCUAGGGCUGCAAACAAUACCCUGACCUGAGCGGCUUACAUAAUAGAAUCUUCCUGUCUCCCAGGUCUGGAGGCUGGAAGCCUGAGAGUAAGGUCUGAGCAGUCCUGGCUCUUUCUGAGGGACUGUGAGGGAACUGUCGGCUCCAGGCCUCUCUCCUUGGCUAAGGCCUCUUCUCCAAGUUUCUUCACAUCUUCUUCCCGCUAUGCCUGUCUGAGUCCAGAUUUCCUCCUCUUACAAGGACACUGGUCACAUUGGAUUAGGACUCACUCCAAUGACCUCAUUUAAACUGGCUUAUCUCUGUAAGGACCCUAUCUCCAAAUCAGGUCACAUUCUGAGGUGUUGGGGGUUUGGACGCCAACACAUCUUUUUGGGGAGACACAAUUCAACCCAUAGUGGGGACUCACUGGCAUAGAUUGAAUGAAAAUCUUAAAGAAACACAGAAGGAAAUUUGCUUCAGGCUAUUUUCCCAGAAGGAAGGGUGGGCUAGAAAGAGGGUCUAUGGGAUAAGGAAAAGAAAGGCAGAGGGGACAUUGGUCAGCUCCCAAAAGGUACCUGUGUCCUGGGGGUGGCACAGAAUCAUCAGGGACACCUGGACGCACAGGGGCCACUGGACAGAGAUGGGGCUUGUUAGAGCACCCCAUGUCCAGAAGCAAGGCACCACCUCAGAGCCAAGAAUAUGUGGGAUGCAUAUUUCAUCCAGCUUUUGGGAAUGGGUCCUAGGAGUCAGAAAUUAAUUUAGAAACUUAGCAAAUGGAGGACUCGAUGUUUUCUGCACCUCCUGAGUCUGUCAGUUGAGAAGUCUAUCUGCCAAAUAUACAACAGAUAAAAGCAGGGGUGUUCUAGGUGGAGCUCACCCUAAUAUUGGCUCCCUUUGCAGUAUCCCAAGGCAAUCCGAGGAGGCUCAGAGUGCCAGGAAACUCAGCUGGAAAACUUAGGGUCCACCCCUCCCUACUUAUUGAACACACAGGACACAGAGGCUCAGAAGAGAAAAGACCUGCUUGUGGGCAUGCAAAAGGCAGGUUAGCAGCAGUUGAGAACCCAGGGUUCCUGAUUUCUACAGGACUCUUUCCUGGCAGCUUCCUCAAAGAUUUCUCAGAGGUGCUGGCACUGUAUUUUUGGUCCAUAUCCAGGUCCCUGGAGGUAUGUCCUUGCACUGCAGACUUCUGAGUCCCUGAGCCGUCCUGGAGUGGGCCUGGAAUCACCUCUUGGGACCUUGUCAGGUUCCUGUUGUUUUGUUCGAGCAGUUCUAAUAGAUGUGCAGUGUGCAGCAUCCUGUGCUGUUUUGACACGUUCCCACCCAUCUCCGAGGGCAUCUUUGCUUUCCAGUCCAAUGAGAUGUUCUAGAAUCACGUUGUCCUUACUUAACCCCAGGAAAAUUAUCCCUGGAAUAAGCCAUCCUGGUUUGAAGUCGAGUUUUAUUUUACUAGGACUUGGGAUAUUAUGACAUAUUAGGGGGAAAGCAUCAUUAAAACGUACUUCUAUGAUGUCAAUUUGAUUAUUCUAUAGUCAACCAUUCCCCACAUAGAGAUAAUUCCCACAUGCAGAAAUGGCUGAGACCUUCCUCUUUGAACCUGUCUCCAGCAUCUUUUAGUACAUUCCUUUCUGCUUUAACUAGAGUGGAUUCUGUUCUCUGUAGUUAACCCUCAUCAACAGACUGAUUGAUGCAACAGAUUCUCAAGCAAAUAGAAUCUAAGAUUGGCUAUCUGACCUAGUUGGAUUGAAAGGCAGCAAGGACCCCAUUAGCAUUAGGAGAUAGUAUUCUGGUAGCCCAUAUGGCAGAAUGGCAAUACAGCUGUCGCCUGUGGUCACUUAUGAUGAAGGUAAAGCUUUAGAGGACAGAGUCACUGCUGAGAUAAACCACUGAGGUGAGAAUAAGGAGUUAAAACCUGGGGAGUAGGCUGGCUGCUUCCCACUACACAGAGUGUUUAAAGAAAGAAAUAACAACCUCAGGGGAUUUUCUUCUUUCUUUUAAAAAAAUAGCUUUAUAUAUAAUGUGAUAUGUCAAUUAUACCUCAAUCUUUAAAAAUAGCUUUUUUGUCAAUAUAGCUAUGUGUACUGACAUAAAAUAAACUGCAUAUAUUUAAAGUGUUCAAUUUGAAGUUUUGACACACAUGUAUAUACACACACACAUGCCUGUGACACCAUCACUACAAUCAAGAGCACGAACAUCCAUUACCCCCAAAAUUUCUUUGGAUACCUUUGCAAAUCCCUCCUGCUCUUCUUUGCCCCUUUUCCUUUCCCAGGCAACCACUGAUCUACUUUCUAUCACUAUGGAUUAGUUAGCCUUUUUUAGAAUUUUUUAUAAAUGGAAUCACACAGUAUGUUCUUACUUCUGCCUGGCUUCCUCCACUCAGAGUAAUUGUUAUAAUUAUUUUGAGGUUUAUUGUCAAUAGUUCAUCCCUUUUACUACUGAGUAGCAUUCCAUUGCAUGGCUAUACUAAUUUUUAUCUAUUCACUUAUUAAUGGAUUGAUUUGGGUUGUUUCUAGUUAUGAAUAAAGCCACUAUAAAUGUUAGUGUACAUGUCUUUAUGUGGACCUAUGUUUAUAUGCUAUCAUUUUUCUUGGAUAAACACCUAGGAGUGAAAUUGAUGGAUUAUAUGGUAUGUGGAUGCUUAAUUGGUUAAGAAACUGCCAGGCUGUUUUUCAGUGGUUGCACCAUUUUAUAUUCCCACCAGCAGUGUACAAAGUUUCAGCUGCUUCAUAUCCUGUCCAACAUUUGGCAUGGUCACCUUUUAAUUUUAGUUAUUCUAAAUGAUUCAAAGUCAGUGACACAGAGAUGGAUAAGACCACUCCAAGGCCAAACAGAGUGGCCACUGAGAGCAGAAACACCACUCAGCACCUCUCAAGCUCCUCACAGGCCACUCUAAUCACCACCCAUGCCUGCAGGAGGAGGAUGGAGCUCUCCCGUCUCCCCAGCAGACAGGCUGCAGUCUGCCAGAAUCCUGAAAGAGGGAAUGUCUUUGAGAACAGAGACCUCAUCUGCAUGGCCCUGGAGGCUCUGCUUUGAACACAGCAGAGAUGAAAGAGCAGAUUUCCCAGACUACUAGUAAAGCUGGUACACACACAGCACAGACAUAAAAAUAUUUAUCACAGUCAUCUGUAAAUGUAUGCAAGAGCCCAAGACCCAGAGAUGUACUUCAUUUCAUGCUAUCCUCUUAAAUGAACACCUGGAUUUAUUAAGAAUGAAUUUAUUAAUUCGCUAUUUAUGAAGCAUGACUCCCAUUUUAUGUAAGGGUGAAUGAUUUGAAAAGGAAUUUCGCAUCAUUGUCCCAAUCCUCAUAACAAGUCAUCAAGAGGGGUAGGAAAGCAUUGUCAUCCUUGCUGGGGACUGCAUGACAGAGAUGUGAGGUGACUCAUCAGACAUCAUAUAGCCAGAAAGCCCAAGGGCUGGUAUAGAAACCCCAGGUAUUCAGACUCCAAGCUUAGCUCUGUCCCCCUCAAUGCUUUUUUAUGUUAAGUGGAGAGACUUUUCUCAUCAGGUGGGUUGCCUUGGUAAGGCCGCAGGACCAGGAAAGGCAAGACAGGAGCUAACUGUUGCAGGAUGCAGUUCAGUCAGCCCUGCUUACCCACAGGGAGACAGCCGCUAGGGCCGCAUCCGCCCCCUGGUCCCAGCUCUCCUCCUCUUACCUCACAUUGCCCAGCUUAUAAAAUAAACACAUUCCAGAGUAAGUAUUGUGUUUUCUUUACAAAAGUUUUCACCAUAGAGCACUUUGAAUGGCAAGCUCCCCAAAAGUAUCAAAAAUAGGGUUCAAACUAUAAAAAUGAUGUAAACACAAGCUGGGGAGACAACCAGUAUAUUGUAUAAGAUCCGUACACAUUGUCAGUUACAUGUGCAGAUAGACAUGGGGUGAUCUGAGAUGAGGGAUGGGGCAAAGUGACUUCUGAAGAUGAUGGGGGUGUGGUCUUUCUCUCCACUCAAAAAAUAGGUUGUGGACUCUGUGUGUGUGUGUGUGUGUGUGUCUGUGUGUGUGUGUGUGUGCACGCGCGCGCACGUGUGCAUGCCCACGUUUGUGGAAGUGGGUAUAUACACAGUGGGGAGAAAGCCUGGCUUUAACUACCAAAGCUGAAGUUCAGUGAUGCUGCCUUCUAAGAGGCUGCUUUUGACUUUCUAAUGAAAAAUUAAUAGGCACUUGCUUGUUGCUGCCUUUAAUUACGUUUGCUAGAGACAAGUGUCUGCUGGCCCGCAUGGCUCUGGCUUCUGUGCGGGAUCUGCUCUCAGCAAAGCCCACUGGUUUGGAAGCACAAAGGGUACCACUUCAGCUGAGGGGCUGAAGACACAGAAACAUCAGCGGGUAGAGAUUGUGUCACAUUUUCUGCUAAUGGGUCCCCACCCACUAGUAUUUGCCUGGCAAAGAAGCUGAGCCUAACACCUCUUGGUAGAGCACAGGCCAGGAUUCCAAACUUGUAGGCUGAGGACCCCCGAAACCAAGGAGAUCUUGAAAGAGGGCUACUAAACCCUGUCCAUAGGCAUAAUAAACAUACUCCCCCUACCAAUACAGAACCAUUUUUUCUAAUGUGUACAUGCUAUUGGGAUUAAUAAAGUAUCAUUUAAAUCAAUUACCAAAUUUACAAUAUUUUUUUACCAUUAUGUAUUUUCUUAACUAAAGGUUCUCAUAUACACCGCUUUGGGGGGCCUCAAAAAUAUUUUGCCUUAAAAAUGGGCCUUCAUACAGGAAAAGACUAGGAACUUAAAACAAGGUAUUUCUUCUGUAACUAUGAAGCAGAGUUACAGAAGGAAUGGUCUUUUCGGGCCCCACCUCCCUGUUUUUUAACAACUUUAGUAGAUACAAUUUACAUUGCAUAAAGCGACAUCUACUUAAAGUGUGUAACUCACUGUU
Long non-coding RNA from Manis pentadactyla (Chinese pangolin), 8470 nucleotides. RefSeq lists it as uncharacterized. The transcript has 5 exons. Lineage: Eukaryota; Metazoa; Chordata; Mammalia; Pholidota; Manidae. The record is from RefSeq and is a predicted model, not a curated record.